RNAcentral lists this transfer RNA (73 nucleotides) under Trypanosoma theileri. It matches the Rfam family "tRNA". From Rfam's summary of the family: Transfer RNA (tRNA) molecules are approximately 80 nucleotides in length. Their secondary structure includes four short double-helical elements and three loops (D, anti-codon, and T loops). Further hydrogen bonds mediate the characteristic L-shaped molecular structure. tRNAs have two regions of fundamental functional importance: the anti-codon, which is responsible for specific mRNA codon recognition, and the 3' end, to which the tRNAs corresponding amino acid is attached (by aminoacyl-tRNA synthetases). tRNAs cope with the degeneracy of the genetic code in two manners: having more than one tRNA (with a specific anti-codon) for a particular amino acid; and 'wobble' base-pairing, i.e. permitting non-standard base-pairing at the 3rd anti-codon position. Lineage: Eukaryota; Euglenozoa; Kinetoplastea; Trypanosomatida; Trypanosomatidae. The record is from Rfam by way of RNAcentral.
GCCUCCGUGGCCUAAUGGAUAUGGCACUCGCUUCCUAAGCGAGGGGUUGCGGGUUCGAGUCCCGCCGGGGGUA